This 253-nucleotide ribosomal RNA is filed under the name uncultured bacterium. RNAcentral describes it as "partial 16S ribosomal RNA". It matches the Rfam family "Bacterial small subunit ribosomal RNA", at positions 524 to 776 of the family's 1533-position model. The record is from RNAcentral.
UACGAAGGGUGCAAACGUUGCUCGGAAUUAUUGGGCGUAAAGCGCACGUAGGCGGCUUUGCAAGUCCCAUGUGAAAUCCCACGGCUCAACCGUGGAAGUGCAUGGGAAACUGCAGAGCUUGAGUACUUAAGAGGAUCGCGGAAUUCCCGGUGUAGAGGUGAAAUUCGUAGAUAUCGGGAGGAACACCAGUGGCGAAGGCGGCGAUCUGGGAAGAUACUGACGCUGAGGUGCGAAAGCGUGGGGAGCAAACGGG